Molecule: ribosomal RNA, 497 nt
Filed under: uncultured bacterium
Lineage: Bacteria
Description: partial 16S ribosomal RNA
Rfam family: Bacterial small subunit ribosomal RNA
Source: RNAcentral
GAUGAACGCUGGCGGCGUGCCUAAUACAUGCAAGUCGAGCGAACGGACGAGAAGCUUGCUUCUCUGAUGUUAGCGGCGGACGGGUGAGUAACACGUGGAUAACCUACCUAUAAGACUGGGAUAACUUCGGGAAACCGGAGCUAAUACCGGAUAAUAUUUUGAACCGCAUGGUUCAAAAGUGAAAGACGGUCUUGCUGUCACUUAUAGAUGGAUCCGCGCUGCAUUAGCUAGUUGGUAAGGUAACGGCUUACCAAGGCAACGAUGCAUAGCCGACCUGAGAGGGUGAUCGGCCACACUGGAACUGAGACACGGUCCAGACUCCUACGGGAGGCAGCAGUAGGGAAUCUUCCGCAAUGGGCGAAAGCCUGACGGAGCAACGCCGCGUGAGUGAUGAAGGUCUUCGGAUCGUAAAACUCUGUUAUUAGGGAAGAACAUAUGCGUAAGUAACUGUGCACAUCUUGACGGUACCUAAUCAGAAAGCCACGGCUAACUACGUG